This 253-nucleotide ribosomal RNA is filed under the name uncultured bacterium. RNAcentral describes it as "partial 16S ribosomal RNA". It matches the Rfam family "Bacterial small subunit ribosomal RNA", at positions 524 to 776 of the family's 1533-position model. The record is from RNAcentral.
UACGGAGGGUGCAAGCGUUAUCCGGAUUCACUGGGUUUAAAGGGUGUGUAGGCGGGCGUUUAAGUCAGUGGUGAAAUCUCUGAGCUCAACUCAGAAACUGCCAUUGAUACUGGAAGACUUGAGUAUAGUUGAGGUAGGCGGAAUUGACAGUGUAGCGGUGAAAUGCAUAGAUAUUGUCAAGAACACCGAUUGCGAAGGCAGCUUACUAAACUAUAACUGACGCUGAGGCACGAAAGUGCGGGGAUCAAACAGG